UAUGUAGGGGGCAAGCGUUGUCCGGAUUUAUUGGGCGUAAAGAGCGUGUAGGCGGUUUGGUAGGUCCGCUGUGAAAACUCGAGGCUCAACCUCGAGACGCCGGUGGAAACCAUCAGACUAGAGUCCGGAAGAGGAGAGUGGAAUUCCUGGUGUAGCGGUGAAAUGCGCAGAUAUCAGGAAGAACACCCGUGGCUAAGGCGGCUCUCUAGUACGGUACUGACGCUGAGACGCGAAAGCGUGGGGAGCGAACAGG
This 253-nucleotide ribosomal RNA is filed under the name uncultured bacterium. RNAcentral describes it as "partial 16S ribosomal RNA". It matches the Rfam family "Bacterial small subunit ribosomal RNA", at positions 524 to 776 of the family's 1533-position model. The record is from RNAcentral.